Molecule: ribosomal RNA, 525 nt
Filed under: uncultured bacterium
Lineage: Bacteria
Description: bacterial SSU rRNA
Rfam family: Bacterial small subunit ribosomal RNA
Source: RNAcentral
AGAGUUUGAUCCUGGCUCAGAUUGAACGCUGGCGGAAUGCUUUACACAUGCAAGUCGAACGGCAGCACGGGAGCUUGCUCCUGGUGGCGAGUGGCGAACGGGUGAGUAAUAUAUCGGAACAUAUCCUAUCGUGGGGGAUAACUAGUCGAAAGACUAGCUAAUACCGCAUACGUCCUGAGGGAGAAAGCGGGGGCUCGCAAGACCUCGCGCGAUUGGAGUGGCCGAUAUCUGAUUAGCUAGAUGGUGAGGUAAAGGCUCACCAUGGCUUCGAUCAGUAGCUGGUCUGAGAGGAUGAUCAGCCACACUGGGACUGAGACACGGCCCAGACUCCUACGGGGGGCAGCAGUGGGGAAUUUUGGACAAUGGGCGAAAGCCUGAUCCAGCCAUUCCGCGUGAGUGAAGAAGGCCUUCGGGUUGUAAAGCUCUUUCGGCAGGAACGAAACGGCGGAUAUUAAUACUAUCCGUUACUGACGGUACCUGAAGAAGAAGCACCGGCUAACUACGUGCCAGCAGCCGCGGUAAUAC